CCAUACAAGCCGGGGAAUUAGCGGAGCCCUGUACCUGAAAUCCGCUACAGCAGGGGUGUAUUCCUUUUUUGAGGGUCAAGCCGGUACGGUCCGAGGCGUAUCCUGCUGCGUUGAAGAGCGGGUCUUGCGCAAUCGGAAACUGCGAACCAUGUCAGGUGGGGAACCAAGCAGCAUUAAGUAGUCAUCCCGAUGUGCCGCGAGGAAGCCUGCUCCGAGCAGGAGGUACGAUGAUCGCGUAUCUGUGAGAUUCGAUCUUUAGGUGUAUGG
RNAcentral lists this signal recognition particle RNA (267 nucleotides) under Clostridia bacterium. RNAcentral describes it as "signal recognition particle sRNA large type". It matches the Rfam family "Bacterial large signal recognition particle RNA". From Rfam's summary of the family: The signal recognition particle (SRP) is a universally conserved ribonucleoprotein involved in the co-translational targeting of proteins to membranes. The record is from RNAcentral. Lineage: Bacteria; Bacillati; Bacillota; Clostridia.